GACGAACGCUGGCGGCGUGGAUUAGGCAUGCAAGUCGGACGGUAGGGCUUUAUCGUAAGAUAGAGUUUGAGAGUGGCGAACGGGUGAGUAACACGUAGGAAUCUACCCUUAAGACGGGGACAACCCAGGGAAACUUGGGCUAAUACCGGAUGAGAGUGCGAGAGAUUGCAUUUAAAAGGAUGGCGAAAGUUGUCGCUUAGGGAUGAGCCUGCGGUCUAUUAGUUAGUUGGUGAGGUAAGAGCUCACCAAGGCGAUGAUAGAUAGGCGGCCUUAACGGGUGGUCGCCCACACUGGGGAUUGAGAUACGGCCCAGACUCCUACGGGAGGCAGCAGUCGAGAAUAGUCUACAAUGGCCGGAAGGCUGAUAGUGCGACGCCGCGUGAACGAGGGACGCCCGUUCGGGGGUGUAAAGUUCUUUUCUAUACGAGCAGUGCUAUAUAUAUGGAUAGUAUAUAUAGAGGGAUAGUAGUAUAGGAAUAAGCAACGGCUAACUCCGUGCCAGCCAGCCCGG
RNAcentral lists this ribosomal RNA (511 nucleotides) under uncultured bacterium. RNAcentral's name for it is "bacterial SSU rRNA". It matches the Rfam family "Bacterial small subunit ribosomal RNA", at positions 28 to 520 of the family's 1533-position model. The record is from RNAcentral.